AGUGAACGCUGGCGGUAGGCCUAACACAUGCAAGUCGAACGGCAGCACAGUAAGAGCUUGCUCUUACGGGUGGCGAGUGGCGGACGGGUGAGGAAUACAUCGGAAUCUACUUUUUCGUGGGGGAUAACGUAGGGAAACUUACGCUAAUACCGCAUACGACCUACGGGUGAAAGCAGGGGAUCUUCGGACCUUGCGCGAUUGAAUGAGCCGAUGUCGGAUUAGCUAGUUGGCGGGGUAAAGGCCCACCAAGGCGACGAUCCGUAGCUGGUCUGAGAGGAUGAUCAGCCACACGGGAACUGAGACACGGUCCAGACUCCUACGGGAGGCAGCAGUGGGGAAUAUUAGACAAUGGGCGGAAGCCUGAUCCAGCCAUACCGCGUGGGUGAAGGAGGCCCUCGGGUUGUAAAGCCCUUUUGUUGGGAAAGAAAAGCAGCAGGUUAAGACCCCGCUGUUCUGACGGUACCCAAAGAAUAAGCACCGGCUAACUUCGUG
RNAcentral lists this ribosomal RNA (492 nucleotides) under uncultured bacterium. RNAcentral's name for it is "partial 16S ribosomal RNA". It matches the Rfam family "Bacterial small subunit ribosomal RNA", at positions 29 to 507 of the family's 1533-position model. The record is from RNAcentral.